UUGGUCAAUUAGAGGAAGUAAAAGUCGUAACAAGGUUUCCGUAGGUGAACCUGCGGAAGGAUCAUUAACGAAUUCAUAAUUCGGCGAGGGGAACGCGGAGGGUUGUAGCUGGCCUUUUUACCGAGGCACGUGCACGCUCUCUUCCGAACUCUCGCCGUAUGGGCGCGGGGCAACCCGCGUCUUUCAUACCACCUCUUCGUGUAGAAAGUCUUUGAAUGUUUUUACCAUCAUCGAGUCGCGACUUCUAGGAGACGCGAUUCUUUGAGACAAAAGUUUAUUACAACUUUCAGCAAUGGAUCUCUUGGCUCUCGCAUCGAUGAAGAACGCAGCGAAUCGCGAUAUGUAAUGUGAAUUGCAGAUCUACAGUGAAUCAUCGAAUCUUUGAACGCACCUUGCGCUCCUCGGUGUUCCGAGGAGCAUGCCUGUUUGAGCGUCAGUAAAUUCUCAACCCCUCUCGAUUUGCUUCGAGAGGGUGCUUGGAUGGUGGGGGCUGCCGGAGACCUGGAUUUAUCCUGGACUCGGGCUCUCCUGAAAUGCAUCGGCUCGCGGUCGACUUUCGACUUUGCGCGACAAGGCCUUCGGCGUGAUAAUGAUCGCCGUUCGCCGAAGCGCAUGAAUGAAUGGUCCCGCGCCUCUAAUCCGUCGACGCUUUCGAGCGUCUUCCUCAUUGACGUUUGACCUCAAAUCAGGUAGGACUACCCGCUGAACUUAAGCAUAUCAAUA
RNAcentral lists this ribosomal RNA (723 nucleotides) under Suillus placidus. Its description in RNAcentral is "eukaryotic LSU rRNA". The stretch from base 282 to 436 matches the Rfam family "5.8S ribosomal RNA". Lineage: Eukaryota; Fungi; Basidiomycota; Agaricomycetes; Boletales; Suillaceae. The record is from RNAcentral.